This 253-nucleotide ribosomal RNA is filed under the name uncultured bacterium. RNAcentral describes it as "partial 16S ribosomal RNA". It matches the Rfam family "Bacterial small subunit ribosomal RNA", at positions 524 to 776 of the family's 1533-position model. The record is from RNAcentral.
UACGUAGGGGGCUAGCGUUGUUCGGAAUCAUUGGGCGUAAAGCGCGUGUAGGCGGUCCGGUAAGUCCGCUGUGAAAGUCGGGGGCUCAACCCUCGGAUGCCGGUGGAUACUGUCGGGCUUGAGUACGGAAGAGGCGAGUGGAAUUCCAGGUGUAGCGGUGAAAUGCGUAGAUAUCUGGAGGAACACCGGUGGCGAAGGCGGCAUCCUGGACCGGUAUUGACGCUGAGGCGCGAAAGCCAGGGGAGCAAACGGG